AUUGAACGCUAGCGGGAUGCCUUACACAUGCAAGUCGAACGGCAGCACGGACUUCGGUCUGGUGGCGAGUGGCGAACGGGUGAGUAAUGUAUCGGAACGUGCGCAGUAGCGGGGGAUAACUACGCGAAAGCGUAGCUAAUACCCGAUACGCCCUUAGGGGGAAAGCAGGGGAUCGCAAGACCUUGCACUAAUGGAGCGGCCGAUAUCGGGUUAGCUAGUUGGUGAGGGAAUGGCUCACCAAGGGCGCGAUCCGUAGGUGGUUUGGGAGGACGACCAGCCACACUGGGACUGAGACACGGCCCCGACUCCUAAGGGAGGCAGCAGUGGGGAAUUUUGGACAAUGGGGGAAACCCUGAUCCAGCCAUCCCGCGUGUGCGAUGAAGGCCUUCGGGUUGUAAAGCACUUUUGGCAGGAAAGAAACGGCGCGUGCUAAUACCAUGCGCAACUGACGGUACCUGCAGAAUAAGCACCGGCUAACUACGUGCCAGCCGCCGCAGUAA
Molecule: ribosomal RNA, 500 nt
Filed under: uncultured bacterium
Lineage: Bacteria
Description: partial 16S ribosomal RNA
Rfam family: Bacterial small subunit ribosomal RNA
Source: RNAcentral